GGGUUGUGAGGUUAAGCGACUAAGCGUACACGGUGGAUGCCCUGGCAGUCAGAGGCGAUGAAGGACGUGCUAAUCUGCGAUAAGCGUCGGUAAGGUGAUAUGAACCGUUAUAACCGGCGAUUUCCGAAUGGGGAAACCCAGUGUGUUUCGACACACUAUCAUUAACUGAAUCCAUAGGUUAAUGAGGCGAACCGGGGGAACUGAAACAUCUAAGUACCCCGAGGAAAAGAAAUCAACCGAGAUUCCCCCAGUAGCGGCGAGCGAACGGGGAGGAGCCCAGAGCCUGAAUCAGUGUGUGUGUUAGUGGAAGCGUCUGGAAAGGCGCGCGAUACAGGGUGACAGCCCCGUACACAAAAAUGCACAUGCUGUGAGCUCGAUGAGUAGGGCGGGACACGUGGUAUCCUGUCUGAAUAUGGGGGGACCAUCCUCCAAGGCUAAAUACUCCUGACUGACCGAUAGUGAACCAGUACCGUGAGGGAAAGGCGAAAAGAACCCCGGCGAGGGGAGUGAAAAAGAACCUGAAACCGUGUACGUACAAGCAGUGGGAGCACGCUUAGGCGUGUGACUGCGUACCUUUUGUAUAAUGGGUCAGCGACUUAUAUUCUGUAGCAAGGUUAACCGAAUAGGGGAGCCGAAGGGAAACCGAGUCUUAACUGGGCGUUAAGUUGCAGGGUAUAGACCCGAAACCCGGUGAUCUAGCCAUGGGCAGGUUGAAGGUUGGGUAACACUAACUGGAGGACCGAACCGACUAAUGUUGAAAAAUUAGCGGAUGACUUGUGGCUGGGGUGAAAGGCCAAUCAAACCGGGAGAUAGCUGGUUCUCCCCGAAAGCUAUUUAGGUAGCGCCUCGUGAAUUCAUCUCCGGGGGUAGAGCACUGUUUCGGCAAGGGGGUCAUCCCGACUUACCAACCCGAUGCAAACUGCGAAUACCGGAGAAUGUUAUCACGGGAGACACACGGCGGGUGCUAACGUCCGUCGUGAAGAGGGAAACAACCCAGACCGCCAGCUAAGGUCCCAAAGUCAUGGUUAAGUGGGAAACGAUGUGGGAAGGCCCAGACAGCCGGAUGUUGGCUUAGAAGCAGCCAUCAUUUAAAGAAAGCGUAAUAGCUCACUGGUCGAGUCGGCCUGCGCGGAAGAUGUAACGGGCUAAACCAUGCACCGAAGCUGCGGCAGCGACGCUUAUGCGUUGUUGGGUAGGGGAGCGUUCUGUAAGCCUGUGAAGGUGUGCUGUGAGGCAUGCUGGAGGUAUCAGAAGUGCGAAUGCUGACAUAAGUAACGAUAAAGCGGGUGAAAAGCCCGCUCGCCGGAAGACCAAGGGUUCCUGUCCAACGUUAAUCGGGGCAGGGUGAGUCGACCCCAAGGCGAGGCCGAAAGGCGUAGUCGAUGGGAAACAGGUUAAUAUUCCUGUACUUGGUGUUACUGCGAAGGGGACGGAGAAGGCUAUGUUGGCCGGGCGACGGUUGUCCCGGUUUAAGCGUGUAGGCUGGUUUUCCGUGCAAAUCCGGAAAAUCAAGGCUGAGGCGUGAUGACGAGGCACUACGGUGCUGAAGCAACAAAUGCCCUGCUUCCGGGAAAAGCCUCUAAGCAUCAGGUAACAUCAAAUCGUACCCCAAACCGACACAGGUGGUCAGGUAGAGAAUACCAAGGCGCUUGAGAGAACUCGGGUGAAGGAACUAGGCAAAAUGGUGCCGUAACUUCGGGAGAAGGCACGCUGAUAUGUAGGUGAAGUCCCUCGCGGAUGGAGCUGAAAUCAGUCGAAGAUACCAGCUGGCUGCAACUGUUUAUUAAAAACACAGCACUGUGCAAACACGAAAGUGGACGUAUACGGUGUGACGCCUGCCCGGUGCCGGAAGGUUAAUUGAUGGGGUCAGCGCAAGCGAAGCUCUUGAUCGAAGCCCCGGUAAACGGCGGCCGUAACUAUAACGGUCCUAAGGUAGCGAAAUUCCUUGUCGGGUAAGUUCCGACCUGCACGAAUGGCGUAAUGAUGGCCAGGCUGUCUCCACCCGAGACUCAGUGAAAUUGAACUCGCUGUGAAGAUGCAGUGUACCCGCGGCAAGACGGAAAGACCCCGUGAACCUUUACUAUAGCUUGACACUGAACAUUGAGCCUUGAUGUGUAGGAUAGGUGGGAGGCUUAGAAGUGUGGACGCCAGUCUGCAUGGAGCCGACCUUGAAAUACCACCCUUUAAUGUUUGAUGUUCUAACGUUGACCCGUAAUCCGGGUUGCGGACAGUGUCUGGUGGGUAGUUUGAUUGGGCGGUCUCCUCCUAAAGAGUAACGGAGGAGCACGAAGGUUGGCUAAUCCUGGUCGGACAUCAGGAGGUUAGUGCAAUGGCAUAAGCCAGCUUGACUGCGAGCGUGACGGCGCGAGCAGGUGCGAAAGCAGGUCAUAGUGAUCCGGUGGUUCUGAAUGGAAGGGCCAUCGCUCAACGGAUAAAAGGUACUCCGGGGAUAACAGGCUGAUACCGCCCAAGAGUUCAUAUCGACGGCGGUGUUUGGCACCUCGAUGUCGGCUCAUCACAUCCUGGGGCUGAAGUAGGUCCCAAGGGUAUGGCUGUUCGCCAUUUAAAGUGGUACGCGAGCUGGGUUUAGAACGUCGUGAGACAGUUCGGUCCCUAUCUGCCGUGGGCGCUGGAGAACUGAGGGGGGCUGCUCCUAGUACGAGAGGACCGGAGUGGACGCAUCACUGGUGUUCGGGUUGUCAUGCCAAUGGCACUGCCCGGUAGCUAAAUGCGGAAGAGAUAAGUGCUGAAAGCAUCUAAGCACGAAACUUGCCCCGAGAUGAGUUCUCCCUGACUCCUUGAGAGUCCUGAAGGAACGUUGAAGACGACGACGUUGAUAGGCCGGGUGUGUAAGCGCAGCGAUGCGUUGAGCUAACCGGUACUAAUGAACCGUGAGGCUUAACCUUACAACGCCGAAGGUGUUU
This 2924-nucleotide ribosomal RNA is filed under the name Escherichia coli. RNAcentral describes it as "23S ribosomal RNA". It matches the Rfam family "Bacterial large subunit ribosomal RNA". Lineage: Bacteria; Pseudomonadati; Pseudomonadota; Gammaproteobacteria; Enterobacterales; Enterobacteriaceae. The record is from RNAcentral.